UCCAGCCCUUACAUAUAGAACAAAGAACAUUGAAUAGUUUUGAGCAAAACUGCUUUUUUGCUGUUUUAAUAUCAGGUCAACCUGCUUAACAGUUAAAUCUCCAAGGUGACCAUUAGGUUGACCAGAAUGAAGACAAAUUACAGUGCCAAUUAACUUCAAACGAGCACCUCAUAAGGAACCUGAAGCACCUGGCGGAGAAGCUUACAGCGACAGAACAAACCUGCAAACUCCACACAGAAAGCAGUGGCGGUCAGGUUUGAACCAGGAUCACAGGAACUCUGAGGCAGUAGCUCUCCUGGCUGCACCUCUGUGCCAUCCUAGCAACAAUGGAAGCCAAGCUUGGUUACAUCGUAUCUUCAGGAAACCUAUUUGCACAAUCUUCCACAUAAUCAUAAUAAUUAGCUUUGCUUUUUCAUUUGAGUAAUGAACUUGCACAUGGCCAAGAUUAUGGAGCCUGAGACAUGAGAACUGCUUCUGCAGGCUUAUGUCAAUAUACUAUUUGGCAUUUCAGCAGACUAGUCUAUUCAUGUUGUCUGCGACUCUUGAUUAUGAUAUCAGUUUCAAGUGCACUAAAGCACUAAUAAGCAGGACUAAGAAUAGAAUUUUAUAAUUGUUUUGACUACUGAUAUAAUAUUGCCAAGUUAAAAUAAGCCCAGAAACAGAUGGGAACUGCUAAAACUCAUUGAAAGCUUUCUACCCCAUCGCUGACUCCAGACCUCCCGGGGAAAGGUCAGGUUGUUAGGCUUACCUGCAUUAGUAACAUAUGGACAUGUUUGGAUUAUAGGAGAUCUCAGGCUAGCAGUCAAAGUCGUGAAACCAAUGAGCUACAUAUCAAUUCUCUGUAGAAUUCACAACAUACUCAGUUUUAUGCGUUUUAUUUGAGAAGGUACAUUUUGAUACGUCCUUGACUUAGUUCUUUGCUUAUAAGUAAAUCCUAGAUUUUUUGCCCAUAUUAGAAACUGUGUGCAUUACCAGAGGAUCUUAUGAGCACUUUUAUGCUUAGAUAUCUACAUCUACACUGAGUGAUCCAGUGUAAAAAAUGUCAUUUAAACGGUGGGUGAAUUUUCUCUUGUUUGUGAAUCAAUGCAUUUUUCACCUGCUUGCUGUGUUCAGCAUAGAUGGACUCAAAAUCCGCUUCCAAUACCUCCCUAUGUGGAUUGAACAUUUCUAUUCUCUGCACCCAGAAAUGCCUUCUCUUCUUGCACAUUCACUGUUACCUUUAGCUUCCAAGGACUCUUCUUGGCCACUUCCUAUUUCGCAUCUGUAUAAUAUCUCAGUCCAAAUGCCAUAUUUUCUCGAAACAUAGCAUCUGUUUCCAUAAGCUAGCCACUGUCACAACUAUACCACUGCAUCUGAGCCUCACCAUCACAAUUCUGCUCCAUAGCCACUGACUGCAUCUGACAUUCUAAGAAUUCCCUGAAACUAAACCAGAUGAACCACAACUUCAGUACUUUAAAUUACCUUGAGUUGCAUUUUCCACCAGACUAUCAGACUGAUUAACUCACGCUGAUUUGAGUGUACUUCUAUGUUAGAUUGACAAUUCUAUUUAUUAUAAAUUACUAUGAUAGCACAUAGCACAUUUAGACAGAGACAUAAUGUAAAGAUUUUUACUCCUCAUCUAUGUGAAGAAUGUAAGAAAUAAGCAACACACACAAAAUGUUGGUGGAACACAGCAGGCCAGGCAGCAUCUACAAGGAGAAGCACUGUCAACGUUUUGGGCCGAGACCCUUCGUCAGGAGAUUAAAUAAUUUGUCAGAAAUAAAGUCAUUUCAGUUUGGAUCUCAUGUCUAUACAAUCAACGAAAACAUCAACUGUCACAUUGCCCAUUCAGUCCCUGCUUCGUUUCUUUCGGCAAUUCGUUUGUUACCUCUACACUCAACAAUUCCAAUGUGGCUCAAACUGAAGUUCUACUUUCUAUCAAUUUAAAUAUCACUUAAGAUCAUUCAGAAUUCUGCUGCCUGGAGAGGAGACCAGAGGUCCAUGAGCAAUUCCUCAACAGGGAAUUAGAGAAAAGGAGGGUAACUUUAAAUUAUCAUUUCAGUACAUUUGUCCAGGAACCAGCACAUAUAUGCCAUUACAAAGAAGACAAGAACUCUAUUUUCUUAGAAGUUGGUGCAAAUUUGGAAUGUUAUCCAAAACUGACAAACCACUAUAGUUAAGUAUCUUGACUUGCAUAAUAGCCUGGUGUGAAACCACCAAUGUCCAUGAACUAAAAAACCUAAAGAAAGUAGUGGAUUCAGUCCAGUUCAACAUAGGAAAAGUCCUCUGCACAAUUGAGCACAUUUACUAUGAGCAUUGAUACAAGAAAGCAGCAUCCAUCAAGGACACCCACCAUCUAGGCCAUGUUGUCUUCUUGCUGCAGUCAUCUGGAGUAAGCAGAGCAGCCUUAAGUCCUACAGAUUCAGGGAAAGUUACUACUUUUCAGCUAUCAGGCUC
Hypanus sabinus (Atlantic stingray) is the source of this 2436-nucleotide long non-coding RNA. RefSeq lists it as uncharacterized. NCBI's taxonomy places the organism in Eukaryota, Metazoa, Chordata, Chondrichthyes, Myliobatiformes, Dasyatidae. The transcript is spliced from 3 exons. The record is from RefSeq and is a predicted model, not a curated record.